UUGACAGGAACUAUUUUUUUCAGGGCAUAGGAGGCUACUUCCUGUGAUGCACUCGAGGUGUUUAUAAACAAAGUGAAAACACGUGGAUUUGAGGGUAGCCCUGUUUGCAGAUGGAAAAAGUCCGAAAAUGCCGUGUGGGUACCCUGUUUUUUGGUGUCAGCUAAUGUGACAGGGCAUAGGAGGCUACUUCCUGUGAUGCACUCGAGGUGUUUAUAAACAAAGUGAAAACACGUGGAUUUGAGGGUAGCCCUGUUUGCAGAUGGAAAAAGUCCGAAAAUGCCAUGUGGGUACCCUGUUUUUUGGUGUCAGCUAAUGUGACAGAUUUAGGUUGUCGGAAGCACGAAAACGUGUAUAGGCCCUAGGACACUUUUCCACUGUCAUACUGAAUGCAAUGUUCCAGUUGAUGAAACGGGAGUAGGUCAGCAUGGUCAGGAAACAGAUUUGUGUGGAUGUUAAAAUAACAGAGGAAGUUGAGUUGCUUAAUAAGUCGGAUGGUAAUGACUGAGGGACGAUGUCUGUAUCAGAUGAUGUUCAAAGUGCAGAUCAAUCUAUGUGGCGAUGCCGAUUUCUCCACGUGGUUCAGAUGGGCUGUUUACCAUGUUUACGGAAGUGGAGUUCUUGGUCUCGCGAGUCCUCGGUGGUAGUGGACUUGGUGACUUUCUUUUGA
Molecule: long non-coding RNA, 667 nt
Organism: Saccostrea cuccullata (small rock oyster)
Lineage: Eukaryota; Metazoa; Mollusca; Bivalvia; Ostreida; Ostreidae
Exons: 3
Source: RefSeq, a predicted model, not a curated record